CUAUUCGCUCUUUUCCGUUGCAGGCUUUGUUGGCGCUGCUGGGGGCACCGGGGAGCAGAUCUUGCGUGGUGUCUCUUUGGACUGAGACGAGCCUGGAGAUGCCAGAACCCCUCAAGCAUGGGACUAGCAGAGCUUUCACUGGCUUUCCUUGUGCUAGGCUGAUUCCUGUUCUAGUAGGACUUGGUGUCCAGCAGAUGGAUAUUGCAGUGGGAUAAUGGGCUGACAACUGCCUCUCUGCCCACUCCAGAGCCCAGCCGGGCUCAUCUGGAGACACGGGUCAAUCCAGAGCGGUUGCUGAGCAUGUCGGCCUGUUGGCUGGAAUGUGGACACAGAGCAGCUAUCAUGCAAGGGAUUUCUUGCUAAGUGGAAGAAGCUGCUGCUGCUGCUGCUAAGCAGAACUAUGGUUUUGCCACGUGGUGGAACGUGCUGGGUCUCCCAAGAGGCUAGAACGUGAGACAGACCUGUGGAUGGGAAAAAUCAAAGUGGACCCAAGAAACAGCUGACACUGGACUGUUGCCUCCAACUUUCAGUCCCUCCUACAAGCUCCAUCAGUGCGUCCUAAAGCAAACGUCGGCCUGCGUAGAAAAUCCCUGUUCCCCCUCCCCCAGACCUUGUCUGGUCUAGGCAGUAUCAGGAAAUGACAAGUGCAGCACUGCCUGACUCUUCUGUCCAUACUUUCAGCUGCUAAUCAGAUAUCUGACUGGCCUGUGGUCUGCGUCUGCUCCCAGCUCUGUUGCUAAGUGAGCUAGACCAGUGGUUCUCAACCUUCUGAGCAGGGGCCUGUUUGUAAAUGCAUCUGGCCAGUGGUGACGGGCAGUAGUCUGGGGCUGGCAGCAAUGGGGUGGCUUUGGUUGGAGCUGGCCUGGCACUUGCCCCACAGUGUUGUGGGGUUGGCAGGGCAUGGCUCUCUGCUCCAGGGUUGCAGCACACUCUGGUUUGGCCCUCUCCCCUGGCUGGACUGAAGUGGUGAGUUGUUGGGACUGGGCCGGUACAGUGCUGCUUGCUCAACCCUCGCCUGGCUGCGCUAGUGUCACGGUGGCUGGGCUAAACUGCGUGACUUUGUGCCUGGAGCACGGUGAGCCAGGCAGCCCUGUGGGACUGAGCUGCCACAACUGUUUGAAAUAAAGCCACUGCCUGUGUCCCAAACUAAAA
This is a long non-coding RNA of Pelodiscus sinensis (Chinese soft-shelled turtle), 1152 nucleotides long. RefSeq lists it as uncharacterized. NCBI's taxonomy places the organism in Eukaryota, Metazoa, Chordata, Testudines, Trionychidae. The record is from RefSeq and is a predicted model, not a curated record.